Long non-coding RNA from Felis catus (domestic cat), 1395 nucleotides. RefSeq lists it as uncharacterized. Lineage: Eukaryota; Metazoa; Chordata; Mammalia; Carnivora; Felidae. The record is from RefSeq and is a predicted model, not a curated record. The transcript has 3 exons.
GCUCCAGGACCGGGUUCCAUGGGCAGAGUCCGCAUGGGGCGGAACCAGCUGCCUGGGCCCAUCUUGGGAGGGUACUGGGGGGCCACAGGCCAGCCAGCUCCAGGCGUCAGGACCUCUUGGCCUCGGUAGUAGGACACGGGAAGGAGACGUGCUCAACACCAGUCUGGAGCCGAGUCCCAGGAGGAACCAAGAGGAGGCCCUCUGCAAAGAUGUCCUUUGUGACCAAGGUAUUAGCACAAGCAAGGCUUCUCAAGGCUCUGUUCAACUUAGACUCCGCGUCCAUUUCCUGAGGCGGCGGGCACCAACCCUAUGCCCAGCAUGGCACACAAGUGAUGGCGGCCUCGGGUUUGAUGAAGAAAGCCCCAGGGCCAGCUUGGCCCAUGUCAUCCUGAAUGCAACCCCGUGUCUGCCCCUGAGACUCAGCUUCCUCCCACCUCAUCUUCCCCGCACGGUGCAUGGAAAAGAACCAGAGUCAGAGAGGAAGAAAAGGGACUUUCACAGAACAGAAUCAGCCAGGAGGGGUGGGGGGUGGCGAGGAAUCCCACCUGGGUCACAUUGUUAGAGGCCCCUUUGUUGUUCGUGAGCUUUAGUUUCCCGAACGAAACUUCCUGGCGCAUCCAAUGGGCUCCAGUAUUGGGGGAAUCUGGGUGGACGUACAGGCGGUUUCCUGUGGACAGUUAACCUCUUUGGCAUGCAGCCCCCGGGGGACCAGAGCCCUGGUGAGAUGGGGCUUCUUUGCCUGUUCGGAGGGGGAUGUCGAAAAGGCUGCAGGGGCAGGACUAGAUGGGUCAGGGCAAGGGGAGGUGGGCACAGAGGACUGAGCAGAAGACAGGCUAAGGCAGAAGAGAGAAGAGAGGACAAACAGAACGGGGGUGAGAAGUGGGAGGGGACAAGGGUGGGAUGGGGAGUUCAGGCUUAGGUGUAGCGGGCAGUGGCUCGCGGGUUCCUCCUGGGUCCACCAGGGGGCGCUCAGUCUCGGCGAAAAAGAGCAUCCAGGGUUCUCCAGGGGGCUUCCUACCUGGCAUGUUGCCCUCAGCCUUGCCACACUGCACCCACUUGCCGCUCUGAUACCGCCAGUGGUGCUGGUCCACCAAGACCACGUCCACGAACAUCCGGUAAUGGCUGGUGGGCUCCAGCCCCGCCACAGUAAAUGACAAGAACGGGAACAUCCGCCUAGGGAGAACAGAAAGACCCACCAACAUCCAUCAGCCCCCCAACGUCGCAGACAGCCACCCCAGUGCCAAGGCUUUCCGCGAUGUGCUGGAGUCAGCUUCCACCCCUCAAGAGAGCCAAGCGGAAAUGCCAGCCAGUCGCUAAACAAUGCCAUAACUAAAACUGAAAUUAUAUCAACUUACAAUUAAAUACAUUACCAGCCGAGGUGAUAAAUACGCAAAA